CCUACGGGAGACAGCAGUGGGGAAUAUUGGGCAAUGGGCGCAAGCCUGACCCAGCAACGCCGCGUGAAGGAAGAAGGCUUUCGGGUUGUAAACUUCUUGUGUCAGGGAAGAGUAGAAGACGGUACCUGACGAAUAAGCCACGGCUAACUACGUGCCAGCAGCCGCGGUAAUACGUAGGUGGCAAGCGUUGUCCGGAUGUACUGGGUGUAAAGGGCGUGUAGCCGGGUUGACAAGUCAGAUGUGAAAUCCUGCGGCUUAACCGCAGAACUGCAUUUGAAACUGUUGAUCUUGAGUACUGGAGAGGCAGACGGAAUUCCUAGUGUAGCGGUGAAAUGCGUAGAUAUUAGGAGGAACACCAGUGGCGAAGGCGGUCUGCUGGACAGCAACUGACGGUGAGGCGCGAAAGCGUGGGGAGCAAACAGGAUUAGAUACCCCAGUAGUC
RNAcentral lists this ribosomal RNA (442 nucleotides) under uncultured bacterium. RNAcentral describes it as "partial 16S ribosomal RNA". It matches the Rfam family "Bacterial small subunit ribosomal RNA", at positions 338 to 795 of the family's 1533-position model. The record is from RNAcentral.